This 253-nucleotide ribosomal RNA is filed under the name uncultured bacterium. Its description in RNAcentral is "partial 16S ribosomal RNA". It matches the Rfam family "Bacterial small subunit ribosomal RNA", at positions 524 to 776 of the family's 1533-position model. The record is from RNAcentral.
UACGUAGGGUGCAAGCGUUGUCCGGAAUUAUUGGGCGUAAAGAGCUCGUAGGCGGUCUGUCGCGUCUGCUGUGAAAACUCGGGGCUUAACCCCGGGCCUGCAGUGGGUACGGGCAGACUAGGGUGCGGUAGGGGAGAUUGGAAUUCCUGGUGUAGCGGUGGAAUGCGCAGAUAUCAGGAGGAACACCGAUGGCGAAGGCAGAUCUCUGGGCCGUAACUGACGCUGAGGAGCGAAAGCAUGGGGAGCGAACAGG